Molecule: ribosomal RNA, 459 nt
Filed under: uncultured bacterium
Lineage: Bacteria
Description: partial 16S ribosomal RNA
Rfam family: Bacterial small subunit ribosomal RNA
Source: RNAcentral
CCUACGGGAGGCAGCAGUGAGGAAUAUUGGUCAAUGGGCGCGAGCCUGAACCAGCCAAGUCGCGUGAGGGAAGACGGUCCUAUGGAUUGUAAACCUCUUUUGGCGGGGAGCAAAAGACGCCACGCGUGGCGUUCCGAGAGUACCCGAAGAAAAAGCAUCGGCUAACUCCGUGCCAGCAGCCGCGGUAAUACGGAGGAUGCGAGCGUUAUCCGGAUUUAUUGGGUUUAAAGGGUGCGCAGGCGGAAGAUCAAGUCAGCGGUAAAAUUGAGGGGCUCAACCUCUUCGAGCCGUUGAAACUGGUUGUCUUGAGUGAGCGAGAGGUAUGCGGAAUGCGUGGUGUAGCGGUGAAAUGCAUAGAUAUCACGCAGAACUCCGAUUGCGAAGGCAGCAUACCGGCGCUCAACUGACGCUCAUGCACGAAAGUGUGGGUAUCGAACAGGAUUAGAUACCCUGGUAGUC